This 505-nucleotide ribosomal RNA is filed under the name uncultured Pelagibacterales bacterium. RNAcentral describes it as "bacterial SSU rRNA". It matches the Rfam family "Bacterial small subunit ribosomal RNA", at positions 89 to 628 of the family's 1533-position model. The record is from RNAcentral. Lineage: Bacteria; Pseudomonadati; Pseudomonadota; Alphaproteobacteria; Candidatus Pelagibacterales.
UACUUAGUGGCAGACGGGUGAGUAACAUGUGGGUAUCUACCCUUUGGCCUGGAAUAACACGAGGAAACUUGUGCUAAUACCGGAUAAGUCUUCACGGAGAAAGCUUUAUGCACCAUUGGAUGAGCCCGCACUUGAUUAGUUUGUUGGUAGGGUAAUGGCCUACCAAGACUAUGAUCAAUAGCUGAUUUGAGAGGAUGAUCAGCCACAUUGGGACUGAGACACGGCCCAAACUCCUACGGGAGGCAGCAGUGGGGAAUCUUGCACAAUGGAGGAAACUCUGAUGCAGCGAUGCCGCGUGAGUGAAGAAGGCCUUUGGGUUGUAAAGCUCUUUCGUCGGGGAAGAAAAUGACUGUACCCGAAUAAGAAGGUCCGGCUAACUUCGUGCCAGCAGCCGCGGUAAUACGAAGGGACCUAGCGUAGUUCGGAAUUACUGGGCUUAAAGAGUUCGUAGGUGGUUGAAAAAGUUGGUGGUGAAAUCCCAGAGCUUAACUCUGGAACUGCCAUC